Molecule: unclassified non-coding RNA, 1591 nt
Filed under: Haliotis rubra (blacklip abalone)
Lineage: Eukaryota; Metazoa; Mollusca; Gastropoda; Lepetellida; Haliotidae
Description: uncharacterized LOC124273867, transcript variant X1
Source: RNAcentral
CUUCAUAAACGCGAUGUUUUCAUUGAUCCUGGUAUUGUGUCUGUGAAGAGUGCGCGAGCAGUUCGCUGCGAGCCCGCCAGCACAAAACUGACGACCCUCGUGACAGGGAGACAGGUGAGGUGAAGCCAGUUAGAUCAGGCGCGGUGAACUCUGGGAUACAUCUUGCCUGCCAGACGACAAUCCCGACUCAAUAGUCACUUGACAAAACUUUCCGGCGGGUGACGGACUCUCAAAGAAACGUCUUUAUAGGUACUGUGAUAUCUUUUAAAGUUCAGCCAAAUACUUCUUUGUGCUAGAAAGAGUGACAGGAAAAAGACUAGCGGUUUUUACCGGAGCUCCGGGAGCCACGCCGGACUCUUUGACUUUUCUCGGUCCUUGUCAUCCAAAUGGCGUCCACACCAGCUCUGUACAUGCUUGCCGUGCUAUUUGUCACAUGCAUAGUUAUUACUACACACGGAUUUAGUUUGAAAGGAUUCUGUGCCUCAAACUGCGCUAGAGGAAAAGGUGGCAACGUGUGUAAAUGUAACGGCUUUCACUUUGCCGGAAAGCGAGUGGUUCCCUCCCCAGACUCUGCUCUUUUAACAGACUCCAUGGGCGACUCGAAAGAAGAAAACUUUCUUGAGUUGGAUUCCGAGGGUUUUGGUGUUUUUGGAUAUCCUAAAGAUGACUCGAGGAGACGGACCAUGAAAAAUACAAACAGUCCAGGGAAUUUUCGUGCUCUUCUAGAAAAAUAUCUCGCUGAGAGGUAUUCCCGAGGGGGCGGGUUCGGCCCUGCUUCCAACCCGGAUUCGUGGUCUGAAGUCUACCGUACUGAAAACUGAUUCCUAGCAUCCAGGGGAGGCAACCGCCGUGGGAAUAUUUGACAACUUCCAGCACCACCAUAUUUCAGACACGUGACGCCCAGGGGAGAUGACUAACACCAGAAAUUUGCCGCUACGUCUGUCCAAUCAUUAAUCGAGUAUUAGACAACAUCAUACACAUACGCACACAGGACUAUAAAUGAUCCAUAUAGUUAUAAUCUUUCAUGACUUAAAACCAUAGACUUAUAGCAUACAAAACGAUGACUUCGUUAUGAAAUGAUUUGUAUUAGUUGUUAUCAAAUAGUUGCUCACUUUGGUACAUUCCCGCUUGAUCUAUCCUGACCCCGCCUUGCCCGAGUUUUGAAGAGUGCAGAAACAUGUUUGAAACGCAACUACUUUGUCAAUAGCGUCAACAAAUGUGUGUUUGAAGCACACACAAUAUCAAAGAUUAAAUUACACAUUCAGAUAAUGGUUUCAUUUGCAUCAAAACAUAUUUGAUGCAAGCAUGCGAACCAGUCCGACACUUUCCCAGCAUCAUGUUAUCCUGAAAACGCUAUUGGUAAAGUACUCUCUCAGGAACAACUUUGAGAAAUCUCAUUUGGGCAGAGAAACCCGAGCGGGCACGUACCUUAGGAGACACGACUAAUGUGUUUGUUGGUAAUGUGAAAUAAGAUGACCCGAGUAAAUCGUUUCCUGUAACCUGCUGCAAUUUGAAGCCGACAACAUCUACGCGUAUUACGGCACCUGAUCAAGUCAUACUGAUUAUUUUGAAUUAAAGUAUCAUGGACAGA